UGUCCAGGGCGGGAAUCGAACCCACAACCUUCUGCUUACCGGGCAGGUGCCAUGUCCACUAGGCUACCCUGGAC
This 74-nucleotide transfer RNA is filed under the name Cordylochernes scorpioides. RNAcentral's name for it is "tRNA-Thr". Lineage: Eukaryota; Metazoa; Arthropoda; Arachnida; Pseudoscorpiones; Chernetidae. The record is from RNAcentral.